GGGCUUGUGGUCUAGUGGCUAUGACGCCGCCUCGACAUGGCGGAGAUCGCAGGUUCAAAUCCUGCCAAGCCCA
RNAcentral lists this transfer RNA (73 nucleotides) under archaeon. RNAcentral's name for it is "tRNA-Val". It matches the Rfam family "tRNA". Rfam says of the family: Transfer RNA (tRNA) molecules are approximately 80 nucleotides in length. The record is from RNAcentral.